Molecule: long non-coding RNA, 1005 nt
Organism: Oreochromis aureus
Lineage: Eukaryota; Metazoa; Chordata; Actinopteri; Cichliformes; Cichlidae
Source: Ensembl
CGAGUUUCCAUAAUUUUUUUGAGUUCUGGGAACUAAUUAGAUUUUACAGUGUAUAAGCAUAAGUAUCCACACAGAACAGGCUUAAUUUUGACCUUAACAUGUGAACGAGGGCAAUACAAUUGAAGCAAAAGUAGAAAAUGAAAUGAGUAAGAACACACAUGCUGGAAAUUGAAACAAAUUCUGCCCAGCAACAUGACAUACCAGCGGUGGGAAGGGGGCGCUAUCUUUUCGCGCCACUGAGACAAAGGAGACAAAGAUGGAGGUUACUUCGCCUAUUAUGUUGUCAGACCUUACACACGCAUAUGACAACUUAGAAUCUGUCAAAGUCCUUGUAACCACUUUUAUAGAUGAGAAGUAAAUUUUUGAGCAUUAUUAUGAUCCAGUCUCCCAUUGUGGAUUCCUAAACUGCGCAACCUUAGACGGAAUCUCGACCAGGGGCAGAGACGUUAUAAGUAGCGAAAAGUGACAGAUGACUGUGGUGAAGACAAGAAGCUCAGGCAAGAGGAUGGGAAUACCAGCAGCACAGAUGAGUGGGUCACCCUGAUCAAAAGAUUGCGGCCCUCAGCUGAGAACCUUCCACCUAUCAUGUCAGGCAUGGAGGAAACAUAAACCAGUCGCAGAGCCUGGAUUAGCAAGGACUCCCCCACUGCCGCUGAAAUAUUCAGAGAGUACCCACGGUUUUUGGACAUGCCAAGUCUGGUGGACUUGGAGUUUGGCAAGCUUACAGGAGGAAAGACGGAUCUCUUUUUACGAAAAUGGGAAGCCAGUAUCAUUCCGAAGCUCAAAUCAGUAGCUGCCCUGGAAACAAGAACCCCCCCUCGCGCGCAUGUUAACACACCUGCUCCCAGCAGUUGGUGCCAGUCGUUGCAGCUUUAAAUCAGCUAUAACGCACUUGGUUGAUUUUGCACUGCCUGGAACAAGUAUUACAUCGUUUUGCAGUGAUCCUGAAGCAUCAUCCACAACACACCAACCCCAGCUGAUAUGCAUCGGUGAUCUAAAGAGUGC